This is a long non-coding RNA of Zingiber officinale, 608 nucleotides long. RefSeq lists it as uncharacterized. Lineage: Eukaryota; Viridiplantae; Streptophyta; Magnoliopsida; Zingiberales; Zingiberaceae. The transcript is spliced from 5 exons. The record is from RefSeq and is a predicted model, not a curated record.
CGAAGUCACAGUCGCGGAGGGGUCCCAACUCGUGAAACCCUAGUAGAGUUUGAAGGCAUCCUCACUCUGCGAAGAACCCUAGCAGCAUCCCACUCACGAAGGUGCGGUUUUCCUGACUCGCGAUCGCGAAGAACCCUAGCGGCAUUCUUCAUAGGUCUCAAUUUGGCGUGAUCUCAGUGUAGUUGAAGACAACUGUAUUUGUUCACCUCUUUUCGUUAAAAUGCAGAAUGAGCGAAGUUGGAUGUAUAACAAGAAUUCAGGUAUAAUGCAGAAUGAGGAAGAGGAGGCGGAGGAGGAGGAUGAUGAUAAUCACAAUGAUGACUUUGAUUUUUGAUGAUGGGGUUGGUAAGGCGAACUAAAGGUCCGAGAAAAAAAGCAAAGGAGAUUUGAGGGGGUGCAAAGCUUUUGUGGCAGACGAAGAUGACUUGAUGUAUUCUUAGUUUAUUUACCUCCUUGGAUGGAUGAUGGAUUUAUAUAACAUUUGAUUGUUGAACUUUAUAAUAUUUUCUAGAAGCUUGAACAAGAUAGAUCUUGUAAAAUUUGUUGAGAUCUUUAUGUUUGUUGAAUUAUGAGUUGAUUGAGUUCAAUUAUUACUCCUGUAUGUGAAA